Molecule: ribosomal RNA, 253 nt
Filed under: uncultured bacterium
Lineage: Bacteria
Description: partial 16S ribosomal RNA
Rfam family: Bacterial small subunit ribosomal RNA
Source: RNAcentral
UACGGGGGGGGCAAGCGUUGUUCGGAAUUACUGGGCGUAAAGGGCUCGUAGGUGGCCAACUAAGUCAGACGUGAAAUCCCUCGGCUUAACCGGGGAACUGCGUCUGAUACUGGAUAGCUUGAGUUCGGGAGAGGGAUGCGGAAUUCCAGGUGUAGCGGUGAAAUGCGUAGAUAUCUGGAGGAACACCGGUGGCGAAGGCGGCAUCCUGGACCGACACUGACGCUGAGGAGCGAAAGCCAGGGGAGCAAACGGG